Molecule: ribosomal RNA, 255 nt
Filed under: Salmonella enterica subsp. enterica serovar Goldcoast
Lineage: Bacteria; Pseudomonadati; Pseudomonadota; Gammaproteobacteria; Enterobacterales; Enterobacteriaceae
Also listed under: 2 other names
Description: partial 23S ribosomal RNA
Rfam family: Bacterial large subunit ribosomal RNA
Source: RNAcentral
GACAGCCAGGAUGUUGGCUUAGAAGCAGCCAUCAUUUAAAGAAAGCGUAAUAGCUCACUGGUCGAGUCGGCCUGCGCGGAAGAUGUAACGGGGCUAAACCAUGCACCGAAGCUGCGGCAGCGACGCUGAUGCGUUGUUGGGUAGGGGAGCGUUCUGUAAGCCUGCGAAGGUGGCCUGUGAGGGUUGCUGGAGGUAUCAGAAGUGCGAAUGCUGACAUAAGUAACGAUAAAGCGGGUGAAAAGCCCGCUCGCCGGA